RNAcentral lists this ribosomal RNA (520 nucleotides) under uncultured Acaulospora. RNAcentral's name for it is "SSU rRNA". It matches the Rfam family "Eukaryotic small subunit ribosomal RNA", at positions 569 to 1088 of the family's 1831-position model. The record is from RNAcentral. Lineage: Eukaryota; Fungi; Glomeromycota; Glomeromycetes; Diversisporales; Acaulosporaceae.
AGCAGCCGCGGUAAUUCCAGCUCCAAUAGCGUAUAUUAAAGUUGUUGCAGUUAAAAAGCUCGUAGUUGAAUUUCGGAGUUUGUCGGUUGGUCGGGCUUCACUGUCCGCACUGGCCUGAUGGAUUCCUACCUUCUGAAUAACCAGCAUGCUAUUAAUUUAGUGCGUUGGGGAAGCAGAGCUAUUACCUUGAAAAAAUUAGAGUGCUUAAAGCAGGCUUACGCUUGAAUAGAUUAGCAUGGAAUAAUAAAAUAGGACGGCUUGGUUCUAUUUUGUUGGUUUCUAGGAUCACCGUAAUGAUUAAUAGGGAUAGUUGGGGGCAUUAGUAUUCAAUUGUCAGAGGUGAAAUUCUUGGAUUUAUUGAAGACUAACUUCUGCGAAAGCAUUUGCCAAGGAUGUUUUCAUUAAUCAAGAACGAAAGUUAGGGGAUCGAAGACGAUCAGAUACCGUCGUAGUCUUAACCAUAAACUAUAGCCGACUAGGGAUCGGACGAUGUUAAUUUUUAAUGACUCGUUCGGCGCCU